AUUAAGUUAAAUGAAAACGCUAACAAAGGAGUUGGAUAUUCAAUGGGUACUAUUGUUUGUCAGGAUUGUCAGGGGAUCAUUGAUCACUAUGAGGAUGAGAAGGUAUCAACUCUUUACGGAACGUGCACCACUUGUAACGAAGAUGAAUAACUAAGAGGGUUCUAG
Molecule: small RNA, 165 nt
Filed under: Pontibacillus chungwhensis BH030062
Lineage: Bacteria; Bacillati; Bacillota; Bacilli; Caryophanales; Bacillaceae
Description: SR1 sRNA
Rfam family: SR1 sRNA
Source: Rfam by way of RNAcentral